UCAUCUUUAAUCAACACGAACUUAUUCAUCAUUAAUAUUAUAAUUCAUAAUAUUUAACAACCAGGUUGUUCCCAGGAAAGAGGGGACUUUCCGAUAAAGAUUUUUCCUUAUUGGCGCGCAAUUAGGUGACCAAACCUCUCCUUGACAGAACUUCUAGACAUUGUCAAUAUUGCAAAUAAUAAUAUGAAUAACUUUGCCG
This 199-nucleotide long non-coding RNA is filed under the name Panax ginseng (ginseng). RNAcentral describes it as "long non-coding RNA (PGIN_LNC000631)". The record is from RNAcentral. Lineage: Eukaryota; Viridiplantae; Streptophyta; Magnoliopsida; Apiales; Araliaceae.